Long non-coding RNA from Acanthopagrus latus (yellowfin seabream), 875 nucleotides. RefSeq lists it as uncharacterized. The transcript is spliced from 3 exons. The record is from RefSeq and is a predicted model, not a curated record. NCBI's taxonomy places the organism in Eukaryota, Metazoa, Chordata, Actinopteri, Spariformes, Sparidae.
GCAGAACUCAGGGAGCACAAGAGGACCCGGAAAAGACACAGGAAGGCAAGAUGACAACAGGAGCGACGCGAGGACGAGAAGUGAGCACAUGGACCAACAAAGAAUCUCCCAGCAGGAGGUUAUGAUGCAGCAUACUGGGCUCUGAUCACAGUCACACCAGCAGAUCCGCCCUGCUGACAGCAACCACAGCCAGAAGCUAAACAUGAUCAGUGUGGAGCAAGUUACUUCUAAAAGAAAUGAUCCAAACUGUGUUUGUCUACAGAAAGUGCAGCGCUUGCAGAACAGGAACAACUGGCAGUCGGGGACCUCCAAGAAGAAACUCAUUCACAAUGUCCAACAAACCAGAAGCCUGAGCAAACACUUCCUGCUCUGAAUGUGAAUCGGUUUCUGUCACUGUGGCACAAUCAGUGUUUACUCAGACCCAGAACCAAAAGUGAUGAACUCAGUAUUUCACGAUGAAAGUUACAGUGAUGCUCUUUCAUGUACUUAUGAAUUGUGGCAGAUAUUACUGUGUUAGACAAGAACAAACUGUGUCUUUUAGUUUUAUUGUCCUGUUACAAACUGUGAGGUGACAGGAUGAGUAUCUAACAUGAAGCGUGUUGCUGAUGUAUCUGCUGAUCUGCCUCAUGCUGGUGAUGAUCUCACUGCUUCAACACAGCAGACUGUAAAUCUCUGCUCACAGCAGAUUUAACAACAGAUGUCUGAUGGCCUGAGCUCAUAAGAGAUGGAGAGUGAACACUUCUUGUUUACUGACUGAAUGCUGCAUUAAACUAUUGAUCCUGUUUGUUUCUUUAUAUAACUGUAGUUUAACUGUACUGUUCAUCCCAACAAGGACUUUAUUAAGAGGGAGCCGGAACAAGAGUGUGACGUCCAAA